AUUGAUGAACGCCUUCGAGUACUUUUAAACACAUCUGCUGCAGUGCUAUCUUAGACGCUUGUGGCCUCUUACGAGCAUGCUUUACUAUAUUUUAUGUUGACGUACCGCUUCUUCUGAAGUGCGCGCCAGCAACUGUUACGUCGUGGCUUUGCGCUUACCCGUUUUGCGACAGCAGACUACAGCCAGGAAACAGCAACCUUUCUUACCACAAGUUUCCAAUUGACAAUCCCAUCCUCCUGCAAAAAUGGCUUCAAGCCAUGGGUCUGAGAGGCUUUGCUCCAACCAGACGUCAUGCUCUGUGCUCUGCCCACUUCGAGCAAUCUAACUUUUGCGGUGGUCUACAACGACGCCGACUGCGUGAAGGGGCAGUGCCGACUUUGUUUCAACCAAGCAGUGACAACACAAGGGUAGAAGCAUCAGCAGCAACACUUGAAGCUCACUCGAUGUGUUCACCGGAAGGAUGGGCAGCGUUGUAAUCAACCAACACGUUGUGCACAAGAUUUUGGUUGCUCAAUGCUGUGUUGCUCGCAUCUAGGUCUUCUAUGAAGUGCACACUAUGACAUAGUUGCCGGGCCUCAAAUGAGGAAGCGCAUGAAAACACGGACACGAGAAGAAACGAAGACGAAGACAAGCGCUAACUUUCAACAACAAAAUUUAUUUCGUCUGUCUUACUGUGUUUUGCAAGCAAACCAAAAAACUGUGCUUGAUUGUCCUAUUUUCCUUUUGCUACGAUUCCUUCAACUGUCAAUCUUAUGUAAACCCUGGCAACAUUACAAAAAUGAAUGACUACAGCGACACAUAUACACACUGCAUUUAUGUUAAUACUAAUCUCUAAACUAAAAAGUAUAAGGAGUCAAUUUCAUGCGGACAUUAACCAAGUUAAAUUGCAAGGAGCAAUGACAGCACGACA
Long non-coding RNA from Dermacentor silvarum, 910 nucleotides. RefSeq lists it as uncharacterized. Lineage: Eukaryota; Metazoa; Arthropoda; Arachnida; Ixodida; Ixodidae. The transcript is spliced from 3 exons. The record is from RefSeq and is a predicted model, not a curated record.